Molecule: non-coding RNA, 90 nt
Organism: Tulasnella sp. JGI-2019a
Lineage: Eukaryota; Fungi; Basidiomycota; Agaricomycetes; Cantharellales; Tulasnellaceae
Source: the annotation of a GenBank genome assembly
GUCUUCAUGGUGUAGUGGUUAUCACGUGUCCUUCACAGGUCAGCCCCUGUAGCUCGGACAAGGUCUCCGGUUCGACCCCGGAUGAGGACA